RNAcentral lists this unclassified non-coding RNA (655 nucleotides) under uncultured Russula. RNAcentral's name for it is "sequence contains ITS1, 5.8S rRNA gene and ITS2". The stretch from base 221 to 374 matches the Rfam family "5.8S ribosomal RNA". The record is from RNAcentral. Lineage: Eukaryota; Fungi; Basidiomycota; Agaricomycetes; Russulales; Russulaceae.
CAUUAUCGUAUAACAGAGAUGCCCAGGGCUGUCGCUGACCUUCACAGGUCGUGCACGCCCAAAGGUGCUCUCUUAUGUCCAUCUCACCCCUUUGUGCAUCACCGCGUGUGCCCCCCUUAUUGGGCUUGUUCCAAAGGGGGGUUCGCGUUUUAACACAGACACCAAUUUUUAAGAGCAUGUGUAGAAUGUCUUACUUUUUGCGAUUAUGCGCAAUCAAUACAACUUUCAACAACGGAUCUCUUGGCUCUCGCAUCGAUGAAGAACGCAGCGAAAUGCGAUACGUAAUGUGAAUUGCAGAAUUCAGUGAAUCAUCGAAUCUUUGAACGCACCUUGCGCCCCUUGGUAUUCCGAGAGGCACACCCGUUUGAGUGUCGUGAACACCCUCAACCUUCUUGGUUUCUUGACCAGGAAGGCUUGGACUUUGGAGGUUUUCCUUGCUGGCCUUCCUUUGAAGCCAGCUCCUCCUAAAUGAAUUAGUGGGGCUCGCUUCGCCGAUCCUUGACGUGAUAAGUAUGCUUCUACGUCUUGGGUUUUGAACGAACCCGCUUCAAACGGUCUUUGAACAAAGACGAUGUUCGAGUUGCAUCCGCUGUGACUCGAACACAGCGACCUUGACCUCAAAUCGGGUGAGACUACCCGCUGAACUUAAGCAUAU